GACGAACGCUGGCGGCGUGCUUAACACAUGCAAGUCGAACGGAAAGGCCUGCUUUCCCUUGUGGAUUGCGGGUACUCGAGUGGCGAACGGGUGAGUAACACGUGAGUGAUCUGCCCCCAACUUGGGUAUAAGCCUGGGAAACUGGGUCUAAUUCCCGAUAGGACUGCAGGGUGGUGCCUGUGGUGGAAAACGAUUUUCUAGUGGUUGGGGAUGAGCUCGCGGCCUAUCAGCUUGUUGGUGGGGUAAUGGCCUACCAAGGCGGCGACGGGUAGCCGGCCUGAGAGGGUGGACGGCCACAUGGGGACUGAGAUACGGCCAAGACUCCUACGGGAGGAAGCAGGGGGGAAUAUUGCGCAAUGGGCGGAAGCCUGAUGCAGCGACGCCGCGUGGGGGAUGACGGCCUUCGGGUUGUAAACUCCUUUCGACCGCGAGGAAGCCACCUGGUUGGAAGGGUGGUGACGGUAGUGGUAGAAUAAGCACCGGCUAACUACGUG
Molecule: ribosomal RNA, 494 nt
Filed under: uncultured bacterium
Lineage: Bacteria
Description: partial 16S ribosomal RNA
Rfam family: Bacterial small subunit ribosomal RNA
Source: RNAcentral